Molecule: transfer RNA, 34 nt
Filed under: Retama raetam
Lineage: Eukaryota; Viridiplantae; Streptophyta; Magnoliopsida; Fabales; Fabaceae
Also listed under: 5 other names
Description: partial tRNA-Leu
Source: RNAcentral
GACUUAAAAUCCGUCGACUUUAUAAAUCGUGAGG